GAUGAAGAACGCAGCGAAAUGCGAUAGGUAAUGUGAAUUGCAGAAUUCAGUGAAUCAUCGAAUCUUUGAACGCACAUUGCGCCCGGUAGUAUUCUGCCGGGCAUGCCUGUUCGAGCGUCAUUUCAACCAUCAAGCCCCAGCGCUUGUGUUGGGGGCCUGCGGCUGCCGCAGCCCCCUAAAAGCAGUGGCGGGCUCGCUAUCACACCGAGUGCAGUAGUUCAUCUUCUCUCCGGUCUUGUGAGGCGGGUUCCGGCCGUGAAACACCCCACUACAUUCAAGGUUGACCUCGGAUCAGGUAGGAAUACCCGCUGAACUUAAGCAUAUCAAUAAGCGGAGGA
Molecule: unclassified non-coding RNA, 338 nt
Filed under: soil metagenome
Description: partial contains 5.8S ribosomal RNA, internal transcribed spacer 2, and large subunit ribosomal RNA
Rfam family: 5.8S ribosomal RNA (bases 1-120)
Source: RNAcentral